AUGAGGCUCCCUGAUCAGCUCUUGGGGCUGCUAAUGCUCUGGCUCCCUGGAUCCAGUGGGGAUAUUGCGAUGACCUUGACUCCACUCUCCCUGCCCGUCACCCCUGGAGAGCUGGCCUCCAUCUCCUGCAAAUCUAGUCAGAGCCUCUUGGGUAGUGAUGACAAAAACAUCUAUUUGGAUUGGUACCUGCAGAAGCCAGGCCAGUCUCCACAGCUCCUGAUCUAUGAUGUUUCAAGCUGGGCCUCUGGAGUCCCAGACAGGUUCAGUGGCAGUGGGUCAGGCACUGAUUUCACACUGAAAAUCAGCCUGGUGGUGGCUGAGGAGGUUGGGGUGUAUUACUGCAUGCAACAUACAGAGUUUCCUUCAACAGUGGUGCAUCCUGGAACAGAAAGCUCCCUGCUGGGGUGUCCCAGCUGCUCACAUAUGCUUUUUAUCUGGGGAGCAGCUUAG
Mandrillus leucophaeus (drill) is the source of this 450-nucleotide non-coding RNA. The record is from the annotation of a RefSeq genome assembly. Lineage: Eukaryota; Metazoa; Chordata; Mammalia; Primates; Cercopithecidae.